This is a small nucleolar RNA of Salvia hispanica, 142 nucleotides long. RefSeq annotates it as small nucleolar RNA snoR136. Lineage: Eukaryota; Viridiplantae; Streptophyta; Magnoliopsida; Lamiales; Lamiaceae. The record is from RefSeq and is a predicted model, not a curated record.
GUGCUUUACUCGGAUUUUUAUGCUGUCACACAUGAUACAGUGGUUAUGUGGCGCUUGUUAUAAGUGAAGCUAUAUAAAUAUGUUCUCCUCGCUAUCCAGUGGUGCUUCUGAUGGCUCAUUUGGACGUUGGUGAACUACAUAC